RNAcentral lists this small nucleolar RNA (142 nucleotides) under Octodon degus (degu). Lineage: Eukaryota; Metazoa; Chordata; Mammalia; Rodentia; Octodontidae. The record is from RNAcentral.
AAGACACAACCUUUAUGUAAUUCAAGAAAGGGUACUUGUGGACCCACAAGUGUAAGUAGUGUGCUACAUGAGGGGCAAGGCUUUCGCUAACACUACACUCUGGCCCAGUGGGUGGAGCUUGAUAGUAAGCCUUGCUACAAGU